Molecule: ribosomal RNA, 857 nt
Filed under: uncultured archaeon
Lineage: Archaea
Description: bacterial SSU rRNA
Rfam family: Archaeal small subunit ribosomal RNA
Source: RNAcentral
UAUGUCUGUGAGUGGCAUACUGCUCAGUAACACGUAGCUAACCUACCCUUAGGACGUCGAUAACCCCGAGAAAUUGGGGCUAAUAGGCGAUAGAUGUGAUGUCCUGGAAUGGUAUUACGUCUAAUGGUAUCUCAUACAUGUUUGAGUUACGCCUAAGGAUGGGGCUGCGGCCGAUCAGGCUGUUGGUGAGGUAAUGGCUCACCGAACCUUUGACCGGUAUGGGCCAUGAGAGUGGUAGCCCAGAGAUGGACACUGAGACAAGGGUCCAGGCCCUACGGGGCGCAGCAGGCGCGAAACCUCCUCAAUGCACUAACGUGCGAAGGGGUUACCUCGAGUGCUACCUGAAGAAGGUGGCUUUUCCAUUGUCUAAAAAGCAUAGGGAAUAAGAGGGGGGCAAGACUGGUGUCAGCCGCCGCGGUAACACCAGCCCCUCGAGUGGUGGGGAUGAUUAUUUGGCCUAAAGCGUCCGUAGCCGGCUAGGUAAGUUUCCCGUUAAAUCCAGCGUCUCAAGCGUUGGACUGCGGGAAAUACUGUCUGGCUAGAGAGUGGGAGAGGUGUACGGUACUCUGGGGGUAGGGGCGAAAUCCUUUGAUCCCCGGAGGACCACCAGUGGCGAAGGCUGUACACUAGAACACGUCUGACGGUCAGGGACGAAAGCUGGGGUAGCGAACCGGAUUAGAUACCCGGGUAGUCCCAGCUGUAAACGAUGCAUGCUAGGUGUUGGGUUGGCCACGAGCCACCCCAGUGCCGCAGGGAAGCCGUUAAGCAUGCCGCCUGGGAAGUACGAUCGCAAGAUUGAAACUUAAAGGAAUUGGCGGGGGAGCACCACCAGGCGUGAAGCCUGCGGUUUAAUUGGA